This is a small nuclear RNA of Cyprinus carpio (common carp), 105 nucleotides long. Lineage: Eukaryota; Metazoa; Chordata; Actinopteri; Cypriniformes; Cyprinidae. The record is from RefSeq and is a predicted model, not a curated record.
UGCUGAUACGGCGGCCACAUACUAAAAAUUGGGACGAUAACAGAGAGAUUAGCAUGGCCCCUGCGAAAGGAUGACAGACAAAUCCGUCAAGGAUCCAUCUUUUUU